GCCAAAGUAAACCGUCUUUGGGGAGGAGAAUGGCAUGGACAGGCACAGAAAUGGUUUCUUAUGCAAUCUACCAAUGCUGAAAGUGAAAUCAACUUAGCAACUGGUGAAGCAGAAGCAGAAUUCUCAGAGUGGAAGUGGGCAAGACCAGAAGAAGUAAUUGAGCAGGCUGUAGACUACAAGAGGCCAACGUAUGAGGAGGUUGUUAGGACUUUUCAGUAUUACCUCAAUGAUGG
RNAcentral lists this unclassified non-coding RNA (233 nucleotides) under Hevea brasiliensis (rubber tree). Lineage: Eukaryota; Viridiplantae; Streptophyta; Magnoliopsida; Malpighiales; Euphorbiaceae. The record is from RNAcentral.